RNAcentral lists this ribosomal RNA (434 nucleotides) under uncultured bacterium. RNAcentral's name for it is "partial 16S ribosomal RNA". It matches the Rfam family "Bacterial small subunit ribosomal RNA", at positions 28 to 507 of the family's 1533-position model. The record is from RNAcentral.
GACGAACGCUGGCGGCAUGCCUAACACAUGCAAGUCGAACGAACCGUUCGGGAUUUUUGGCGGACGGCUUAAUAACACGUGGGGAGAGUCACUUAGGUUCGGCAUAACUCAAGGACACGUAUGCUAAUGCCAAAUGUGCGCUUAGGGGGGAAGAUUUAUUGCAUUUAGAGGGGCAGGCGUCUGAUUAGCUAGUUCGUUCAGGUAAUGGCGCACCAAGGCGGCGUUCAGUAGUUGGUCUGGGAGGAUGAUCAGCCACAUUGGGACUGAGACACAGCCCAAAAUCCUACGCGAGGCAGCAGUGGGGAAUCUUGCGAAAUGGGGGAAAGCCUGACGGAGCCAUGACGGGUGAAUGAUGAAGGUCGUAGGAUAGUAAUAUGCUUUCACCGGUGACGAUAAUGACGGUACCCGGUGAAGAAGCCCCGGCUAACUACGUG